GCAUAUCAAUAAGCGGAGGAAAAGAAAAUAACAAUGAUUCCCCUAGUAACUGCGAGUGAAGAGGGACAAGCUCAAAUUUUAAAUCUAUCGGGUUUUACCUGAUCGAGUUGUAAUUUGAAGAGGCGUUUUCUGCGUGUUUGGUCAGCCUAAGUCCUAUUGAAUGAGGCAUCAUGGAGGGUGAUAAUCCCGUCCGGUUGAUCAUUUGCGUUUUACGAUACGCUUUCUAAGAGUCAAGUUGUUUGGGAUUGCAGCUUAAAAUGGGAGGUAAAUUUCUCCUAAGGCUAAAUAACGGCGAGAGACCGAUAGCGAACAAGUACCGUGAGGGAAAGAUGAAAAGAACUUUGAAAAGAGAGUUAAACAGUACGUGAAAUUGUUGAAAGGGAAACGAUUGAAGCCAGUCGUACCUUCGGGUAAUCAGCCUUUCGAGUGCGAUUCUGUGGAGUGUGAGGAGCUUAACACCUUCAUGCUUUGCAUAUUUGUGCUCUUGGGUGUACUUGCCCGUGUGGUUGGUUAACAUCAAUUUUGGUUAUCAUAAAAUGAUUGGAGGAAUGUAGCUUCGAUCUCGUAUUGAAGUGUUAUAGCCUUCGGUAAAUGUGAUGAACGAGAUUGAGGAUUGCAACGGAUACCCUUCGGGGCUACCUGUCUGGUCUCUGAUCGUUGCUCUGGUGCCGAAAGCUUGCUUACGGUCAUCAAAGUCGAUGGUCAAUAGGUUAGAACGGGUUAAAUUCGUUAAGGAUGUUGACGUAAUGGCUUUAAACGACCCGUCUUGAAACACGGACCAAGGAGUCUAACAUAUAUGCGAGUGUUAGGGUAAUUAAACCCUUACGCGUAAUGAAAGUAAUUUUGGUGGGAACACUUUUGUGCACCAUCGACCGAUCAGGAUAUUUUUUGAUAGAUUUGAGUAAGAGCA
This 910-nucleotide ribosomal RNA is filed under the name Rhizophagus irregularis. Its description in RNAcentral is "eukaryotic LSU rRNA". It matches the Rfam family "Eukaryotic large subunit ribosomal RNA", at positions 38 to 802 of the family's 3401-position model. The record is from RNAcentral. Lineage: Eukaryota; Fungi; Glomeromycota; Glomeromycetes; Glomerales; Glomeraceae.